Podarcis lilfordi (Lilford's wall lizard) is the source of this 80-nucleotide non-coding RNA. The record is from the annotation of a GenBank genome assembly. NCBI's taxonomy places the organism in Eukaryota, Metazoa, Chordata, Lepidosauria, Squamata, Lacertidae.
GGCCCCGGCUCAGGGGUAGAGCAUUUGCUUUGCAUGCAGAAGCUCCUAGGUUCAACCCCUGGCUUUUCCAGGGAGGGCUG